Molecule: long non-coding RNA, 291 nt
Filed under: Brassica rapa (field mustard)
Lineage: Eukaryota; Viridiplantae; Streptophyta; Magnoliopsida; Brassicales; Brassicaceae
Description: long non-coding RNA (BRAP_LNC000193)
Source: RNAcentral
AACCAUCUUUUUACGGAUCGAUCGAUUGUUGAGCAUGUGGUCGAUCCGAAAAUACUCUGCAGUUUAAUUAAAUAUGUAAAACAUUAAUUCCAACACUCAACAGAUAGUUUUGAUAAAUAUGAUAACUAGAUAGCCAACAAAAUUACAAAAAAUAUUUAAAUAGUAAAAAAUAUAUUAAUUUAACGUGUUAAAAUUUAAAAAUAAAUUUAAAGUAAGGCAUGCAUUCUUAACAUUUAUAUAAAUAUAUUUCAUAGCCUAAAUAUAAAUAAUUUAACAAUUUAAAUUAGAAAA